GGUUGUGGCUCAGUAGUAGAGCAUUUGCCUAGCAUGUGUGAGGCACUGGGUUUGAGUCUCAGCACAACAUAUAAAUAAGAUAAAAUAAAGGUCCAUCAAUGAUUAAUUUUUUUAAAACACUAUAUCAUAUAUUUGUUUUUAAAAAUGGCUUCAUCAAAAUUAGACUAAAAUAGUCAUGUGAAAAAUUCACCAUCAUUAUCAUUAUCAGUAUUUAGUAAAAAGUGUACUUUUAAAUCUGGAAUUGGGCAGAGUUUUGUGGGGAAGGAAAAGAAGAGGGCAAAGGCAAAUACUGAACAUAUUCUAAUAUAGGAAGCUGUCUCUGUUUCAGCAUAAAAUAUUUCUGAUGUCUGAACUGAAAGUCAAGAGUAUCAAUUAAUUGGUACAGACGUGAGCAACCUGUGUUUUAGAUGGCAAAAUAUCUAGUCUUUCCUGACACGGCAAUUGUCCGUUCUAGAGUGAAAAAGCUAUUGGCCCUGUAACUGCUAUUGGGAAAUGAUUGAACAUCUCCAGCCAUUGUGUAGGCAGCUCAUUGUUUCAUGGCAUAUUUUCUCUCAUGGGAAAAAACCCAAAAAUGAGUACAGACUGUCAUUUCAUCCAGAUCUUAAAAUUUCUCAGUUGUAUUUUUAAUACCUAAAUGUUUGGGGGUUAUAAAGCAAAAUAAGAAUAGCAAACCAAAAAGGCACUUUCCAGGACAUUAAAUUCAUGAAUGAUAAAAUAAUAAUAAAGAAACGACAACUUGUAGGACUUUCUUGGUUAUGCAUAUGUUUGUUAAUGCAGCUACAACAUUUGGUCAGGUGAGUAUCAUCAACAUGCUCAUAUUUAUAUAGUGAUAUUAAAAUAAAUACAAUUAUCUUUGCUUUGAUUUUUAAUAUUUGGUAUUAAAAUCCAUAUGGGUUUAAAAGUCUCAGUUUCUGCUGAAUAACAUUUUUAAUUUCAAAAGGGUUUUGUUUCCCUGUGUGCUACAUUCUGAGACUCAAGAGUAUGUCUUCUAAAUUAAAAUAUCUUUUUAGGGAUUAGAGAUGUUGUAUCAUCUAGGACUAUAAUAUUAAUAAAAUAAACUAUAUACAUGAAAAUAUUUAUCAUAUUUUCUGUCAUUAAAAAGUUCAACUUAGAAAAGGGCUUAUUUUCUUACGUAUUGACAUUUUGUUGUUGUUGUUAGUAAAGAGAACUUAGUUUCUAGUAGAUUGUUAAUAGUCUCAGGAAGAGAAUUCAUUCAAGUCAGAAGUAACUGUGUGCUUGUUCCCAUAUCUGCAGCUCAUGGCUCAGCGCUUUGGCUGUCCUUUUAGCUUCUAGCUAUCCUAUUAUAAGCAGUAGUGCAGUGUGGCCCACACCCCCUUUCCUCCAGGACUGAGAAUAAGCAGGAAUCUCAGGAAUUGGUGAGGGAAAGCUAAAAUGGCAACUUCUGUUUCCCUGUAUGCUAUUCAUAGGGAAAAGGAGGACUAACCAUAGAUAAUAGGAAGGAGAGGGCUUGCCCUCCAGGGACCUGGUAGAUUGGACAUAAGUAAGUAAACAUUGCAUAGGCACAAUGAUGUAACAGAUUGUAGACUCAAAAGAUAACCCUUUAAACAUGAAGAGAACAGUGCUUGGUGGAAGAGCAACUGUACGUUGGAAUAUUCCCUAGAGCUGCUUUAAAGCCACACUGAACAACAAAUCAACAUAUUCUGAAAUAGAGACCCGUUCCACAAUGCUGAGACACCCGGCAGGAUGCACUACAGAGGGAGCAGGCAUCUUAAACAGCCACAGAGGCCUGUGGGAGCCAGCAAGUCUCUACAGUGUGGGAAACCACUAAGUGCGUGCCAUAUUUAGGGAGUGGGGAGGCCGUGCUAAGUGCUCCAUCUUCAAAAUUUGACAACCAAUUCCAGUUUUUAGAAAAUGCCUCAGGCCAAUUGAAGCCUUCUAGUCACUCAUUUGCUGCUGUCUCUGAAUAAUUAUUGAUAAAGCUAUCGUGUUUAGUAAAAGAAAACACACAGUACCAGAAUCAAGCAGGGAGCUAAAAACGCAUGUGAAAAUUGAGAAAUCUGAAAGCAAAUCUGGGUUGCCAUCUCUGAACUGGAAUGUUUCCACGGACUUGAAUAAUUUAUGAAAUUAUCAUGCCAGUACUUCUCAUAUCACCAAGUAGACUUUUUAUCCCCCUGCAGUAGAGGAUUACUAUAUUUGCCUC
RNAcentral lists this long non-coding RNA (2161 nucleotides) under Marmota monax (woodchuck). The record is from RNAcentral. Lineage: Eukaryota; Metazoa; Chordata; Mammalia; Rodentia; Sciuridae.